GGAUCACUUUACAAAAAUGUGUGCUUUGUUUAUGUUAUCUUAAUUAAAGGCGUGCGUGUCACUAGCCCUUGAAUCGCAGUGUGUAGAGGAAAAUCAAUAUGACAGCCUGAACUUGCUUAUCAAACUUUAGUGAUUUAUGUGCCUUUGAUUAAUUCAUUUUCUUGAAAAUGGGAGAUAUUUGCACAGCAUAAAUGUCAUGUUGAGCAGCUCUCUAAUUACUGAAACAAAGGGCAGUCAUUAUCAUGGAAUGGAGACUGUUUUUUUUUCAUGGGCAGCAUUCUGGUUUUGCCUACUAUUAAAUGUAGCUAUGUAGAAAAUUCUGCCUUUAAGACUAUGCCACUAUACAUAAUAAUUAAAGCAGGCAUGUCUCAGGACUCUGGUGAACUCACUUACAGCCUGGCUCCAUCACUUUUAUAUGAAAAGUACCUACGUUCUACCUUCAUAAUACAUUCAUAGACGUUGCAUACAUAUUUUAUAAAGCGGUGUCAGAGGACUUAUGUAAAGCUUAUGUCAAAACUCAUGAGGCAACACUGCAGAUUUUAUUGAAUAUGACAAUCUGCCUAUAGGCAUGUAUCGGGAGAUAGGGGAAAACAGAGAAGCCAGAGAAAACACAGGAGAAUCCUGGAGCUGUUAGACAGCAAUGCUACCUGCUGCACUAUCAUGCUGGAAAGGAUUAUGAGUGGAACAACUGAAAAGUUUUCACCCUGUCAGCAGGAUGUUAUGAGUUUGUAUCCUUAUUAUGGGUGGGAUGUAAGGGAGCAUAGCUGUCUAUGCUCUCUGGGUGGGCUGAUAAAAAGGUGGUAAAUUCUCUUUUCCCUGUCAAUCAAAGCAACAUAAGCCUAUCAUAGAUGUGUGUAAGGUCAUGUAUGCUGAAGAGUGCAGGUGGCGCUUUCUUCAGAGCCUUGAUUUACAGCAUGAACUGCAACUAGAUGGAGGGAUGACGCUGGAUUGACUCGUGUCUGUGAGGAAGCCUGCUGGUCUUCACCCUCCUCUGGUAGCUGUCAUAUAACAGGCAGCCUGGUAGGUAACCUGGAUGACAUGUCAUCGGAAAUGACCACAUUGGCCCAGUAUGUGCAAUUAUUGCACUGGGCUGAUCUUCAAACAAGCUCCGGAGUCCUGGUAGCUCUCUGGAACUGCAUGAGGGAAACGGGACGAGGCCACACGGAAGAAGAGCAAGGACAGAUGGCUAGGGGAUCAGACCGAUGCAGGAGAUAUGACAAGGCACAGCUCACCUCACCACAGGUGCCUGACAGUGUAGGAGGCUCCCGCCAAGAGUCCAUAAUCUCUCUCCGGCACUGUCCGCCAAGCUGCCAUCACGAACAUGUUCAUGUGGUCUUACCCACAGGUUGACUGUUUUGUGUGUGUGUGUAUGUGUGUGUGUGUGUGUGUGUGUGUGUGUGUGUGUGUGUGUGUGUGUGUGUGUGUGUGUGUGUGUGUGUGUGUGUGUGUGUGUGUGUGUGUGUGUGUGUGUGCUAUAGAUGACUCAGAGCAGGAAGACUGGACAUUAAAAGAAAAACAAAACAAAACUAUACUUAACUCACUGACUCAUCAGCUACAUUGUGCAUUGUGAACAUUUUUGCCACUACAACAGUAACAACCUGAUCCCAUUAUCUAUACUUUAUUGUUGGUUAAUUUCAUUAUCUUUCCUGUUGAGUCAUAUCUCUGACUCUCUGUUCUGUUCAGUAGAAUAUGUAUGAACAUUUGUCCUCUGCAAGAGGGUAAUUUUAAAUACCAGCAAUCUAGCACUGGUCCCCUAAUGGGUGGGAUUCAAACUGGCAUUAACAUGCAAGGAGCACCAAGGUCUUAGGUCCUGAGCCUUCAGCGUAUGGCACUUAGUCGAUGCAAAACACUGAAUUAUUUAUAGGAGAAAGAAAUAAAUUCAAGUCAUGAGACAUAAAAACCCAAGUGUCAUGGCCAGGCUUGAGAUUAACCCUGAGGUGACUGGGAAAGUUGAUGAUUGUUAAUAAAGAAUGAAUCUUCAUCAGGAAAUCUAUCUCGGCAUGUUCAAGCUCACUUACUGACUAGCAGUUUUAAUUGGAGACAUACUGACAAAAUGGUGAUUUCUGGUAUUUGGUUAAAGUAUUAAUUUAUUCAUUUAUUAAUACUUUAAUAGCCAGAAAUCACCAUAUUUUAUGUACUUGAGAAUAUAUAUACGAAGAUUGUCAUGCUAUGUGAUGUUAAUUAUUUGUUAGUUUAGUUUAAAUCUUAAAUCAUAUUUAUCUCAAAUUAUAUAGAUCACAAUCAUAUUUAUUGUUUUUAUAUGGGGUUAAUCAUAUUUACAGAAAUAGCAAGCCAUAAAAGGUUUUCUAAUAUGAGUCGAUAUAAUUUACUUUGCACCAGGGGCGGUUCUAGGAUUUCAUCUUUAGGGGUUUUAGCCCUCAGUGAGAAUUUAAAACAAGAAGAGUUUUAUAUUAUAUAUUAUAUGACUACAUAGUAAACCAAAAGUUAUGGUAUUAUUU
Long non-coding RNA from Tachysurus fulvidraco (yellow catfish), 2459 nucleotides. RefSeq lists it as uncharacterized. The transcript is spliced from 3 exons. Lineage: Eukaryota; Metazoa; Chordata; Actinopteri; Siluriformes; Bagridae. The record is from RefSeq and is a predicted model, not a curated record.